Long non-coding RNA from Orbicella faveolata, 609 nucleotides. RefSeq lists it as uncharacterized. The record is from RefSeq and is a predicted model, not a curated record. NCBI's taxonomy places the organism in Eukaryota, Metazoa, Cnidaria, Anthozoa, Scleractinia, Merulinidae.
ACUAACUCGCGCGGGUAACGCGCGAGAUGAGUGAACGCUCCCAGCAUUCUUUGCAACAACAGUUCGUCCAUGUUGUUGAACCGCGAAAGUUGAACGAGGCUGAAAAAAGGCAGACGAAAAGGACUUUCUUCUUAUCAGUGUACCUGCUGUAUAUUCAGGGAGAACGCUUCGAGCUGGAGAACUUUGUUGGCGAGCGAUAUCGAUUGAACUCGGAUUGCAGCUGAAGACAAAAUACCUGGGGAUAAGACAGGAGGAGGAUACUAUCCACAAACUUAUUCUAAAAUGAUUAUUUAUUUAUUUAUUUAUUUAUUUAUUUUUUUGCAAUCCAGGACCAGGUAAACACUUGUGUUCUUAUGCAAUGAUCAAAUCAAAACUUAAUCUGGCUCCUUCAGGGGAAUCCCCCAAGGGCAUCCCUACAGGGUACCCAAGUCAUCAAAUUCUACAGCAGAGAAAGAAUUAAAAUGCACCACUUUUUUUCUUUUGUUAAUUAAUGCACUAUUGUAAGUUAUAGCAUCCAAAAUAGUCUGGGAAAUUUUUGUUUUCAAAAUCAGGGAAGGUUCAGGGAAUAAAUGGAGAAAAUGGGGAGGUUCCCUUUUGUACUGUACCUUU